CAGGUGGGUACCCCUGUACCCGGCUCCUUCUUUAAUUUAGCAAACAUCAGUGGCAUCGUGCUAGAAGAUAAAGCAUGAAGAAUGAAGACUUGAUCUUUUUUCUCCAAGAAGUUUAUAAGUGAAUGGAAGAGAAAACCAGAUCAUUGUAAUUACUAACCUGGGCAGCAUGAACACACAGGAACCAGGGACCACAGAGGGUUGGCUGGGAAGAAUUCACAGUGUCACAUUUCUAGAAGGGGGGGCUUGAAUGAGGUUAUUCAUUUUCACUCAUCACUUGCCGCAUGUCCAUUCCCUGUUCUACAUUUGCCACUGAGAAUAGCAGCCUAAUAUAUACACAAUUAAUAAAGAAGACAAGUAUUAAAUAAGUUAUUAAUUGCAAGCAUAAUGAAUGUUGGAAAAAAGAAAUGCAACUAUCACGAGAAUGUGAAACUGGGAAGUCAGUGUCAAGGAUGAGGGAAACUACAUAGAAGAUUUAAACUGAGAUGGGAAAAUGGGCAGAAAUAUUGGCAUAGGAUAAGCGUGUUCCUGCAGAGCAUGGUGGUGCACGCCCGUAAUCCCAGUAAUUUAGGUUCCACCCAGCUCCGGAAGCUGAGACAGGAGGAUAGAGAGUGCAAAGCCAGCCUCAGCAAAGGCAAGGCGCUAAGCAAUUCAGUGAAACCCUGUCUCUAAAAAAGAAAAAAAAUACAAAAUAGGGCUGGGGAUUUGGCUUAGUGGUUGAGUGCCUCUGAGUUCAGUCCCCCGUACCAAAAAAAAAAAAAAAAAAGAGUGUUCCUGAGGAGAGAAUUGAGAAUUGUGUGUUCAUUUGCUCAGUGUGAAAAAAAAAAAAAAAACAUGAUUUGACAUGUUCAAAAACUGAAAGAAAUCUAAUGUGGCCAGAGCAUAUAGAGAAGGGACAGCAGCUACAAGAAAUCAGGAAGAGACCAGAAAGUUGAUCACACAGAUAUGUCAGCCUUGUUACCAUUCAGGAACUUUAUCCUGAAGGUAUAGGGAGCUACUGCUGUGUUGGUCAUUGUGUAAUUGGACAUGUGUUGGAAAAGCCAAAACUGAAAGCAGGAGAUCCGGCAGGAACCCUUGGAUGAGUCAAGGUGAGAAGUGGUGGUGGCUUGGCAUAAGAAGGAGACAGGAGUGAAGAGAGCUGAUGUGUGGGAGGCAGACAUGGACUUGGUGAUCAAUCAGCUGUACAAGGUGAGAGUAAGAAAAAAGUCAAGAUGGAUCUUAAGUGUCUGAGUUGGGAAAUUGGUGUGUCAUUAACCAAGGGAAUUUGGAGAGAGGCAGGUUUGGAGGAAGAGGAGUGAACUAAGUCUUUUGGACCCAUGAAAUUUAGUUCAAGCAAGAUAUUUAAGUGGGGAUUUCCAAUAAGAAGUAGAUUAUAGAAGCCCAAAGGUUGAGAAAUGGGUGGAACCUAAAGAUUAAGACAUCAUUAGGGAGUGACUGAGAGGGUAAGUAGAAUGUGAA
Molecule: long non-coding RNA, 1455 nt
Filed under: Marmota monax (woodchuck)
Lineage: Eukaryota; Metazoa; Chordata; Mammalia; Rodentia; Sciuridae
Source: RNAcentral